This is a long non-coding RNA of Podarcis raffonei (Aeolian wall lizard), 1078 nucleotides long. RefSeq lists it as uncharacterized. The transcript has 3 exons. The record is from RefSeq and is a predicted model, not a curated record. NCBI's taxonomy places the organism in Eukaryota, Metazoa, Chordata, Lepidosauria, Squamata, Lacertidae.
AGCAAUUAUGGUCUUCAGGUAACGGCAAGUGAGGAGCUCAUUAUCGUCAGCCCUUUUGCAUUUAGCUUGAAGGGUGCAGCACUAAGCCACAAAACUAAAUACAGAAGAACUUGAUUUUCAGAUCCUAAUGUUCAGGAACAUAAGAAGAGUCUUCUGAAUCAGGCCGAUGGUCCAUCUAGUCCAGCAUCCCAUACCCUCCAACAUGAUGUGGCCCUAAGCCAGGACCCCACCUUCUGUGGCUGCACUCCCAUAAGCUACCAAUGAAGUGGAAUCAGGACAGAGAAAUGUAUGGUCUGACGCAGUCACAGCACAACUGUUUUGGGGAAAGGGGUAAGAAUUUGAGAAAGAAAAGACAAGACAGCUCCGUGUUAAGCGUAACAUCUAUUUCUGCCUUGUCUUUCUGACUAAGCUAUUCCUCAAAAAUUGUUUGGGCGUCUCUCUAGAAUUACUUGAUCAAAUUUUCAGUUCCAAUACUGGCUUAGACCUGCUUGUAAUUUUCCUUGGCUGUGCAAUUGUACAAAUGCAGAAUACUUUGCGAACAAUGAAGAUUUCCAAAAACUAAUAACCUCUCAGAGAAAAACUAUUGUGGCCCAGCACUGCAAAUGUAAAUGAAUAUGUGGACUGCUUCGUGAAAAUAAAUAGCUUUUCAUAUGAAAACUAUUUCACAACAGAGCAACAUGAAGUUGGCAGGAAAGAGUCAUGGUAAUUAUGUCCCUAAAGAUUAAUUUCAUCACUUUGACUUUUUUUCAAAAAAGUAUUCAGGACAAAAAUAUUUAUCAAAGACUCUGAACACAGAAUAUGGGUGAUCUCAUUUAUGCAAGUUGCAGUUCUUAUUUGUUUCAUAGUUUCCUCCAUUGGAGAUUAAGAUAAGAGCUGAAAUUUCCCUGGAGGUUCUAUUUCAUAACUUUGCCGGUAUUUUGUAGUCCGUGCUUAUUGGUUUGAUAGAUGACCUUGUUUGUAUGCAAAUUAGUUAUUUUAAAUACAUGUAAUCUUUUCCAAAUAAUUACUGUUCGGGAGCCAACCUACAGUAGCUGAGCUAAGAAUGAAAUCCAAAUAAAGUAUGCAUUUCUUGACACUC